GAUGAACGCUGGCGGCGUGCCUAACACAUGCAAGUCGAGCGAACAGAUGCGGAUCUUGCUCCUCUGACGUUUGCGGCGGACGGGUGAGUAACACGUGGAUACUCUACCUAUAUGACUGGGAUAACUUCGGGAAACCGGAUCUAAUACCGUAUAAUAUCUUGAACCGUAUUGUUCAAUAGUGAAAUACGGUUUUUCUGUCUCUUAUAGCUGCUUCCCGGCUGCAUUAGAUAGUUGUUAAGGUAACGGCCUACCACGGCGACGAUGCGUAGACGACGUGAGAGGGUGGUCGGCCACACUGGAACGGGGACACGGACCAGAGGACUGCGAGACGCAGCAGUAGGGAAUCUUACGCAAUGGGCGGAAGCUUGACGGAGCAAGGCCGCGUGAGUGAUGAAGGUCUUCGGAUCGGAAAACUCGGUUAUGAGGGAAGAACAAAUGUGUAAGUAAAUAAGCACGUAUUGACGGUACCGAAUCAGAAAGCAACGGCUAACUACGUG
This 497-nucleotide ribosomal RNA is filed under the name uncultured bacterium. RNAcentral's name for it is "partial 16S ribosomal RNA". It matches the Rfam family "Bacterial small subunit ribosomal RNA", at positions 28 to 507 of the family's 1533-position model. The record is from RNAcentral.